This 871-nucleotide ribosomal RNA is filed under the name Usnea strigosa. Its description in RNAcentral is "mitochondrial SSU rRNA". It matches the Rfam family "Bacterial small subunit ribosomal RNA", at positions 348 to 1191 of the family's 1533-position model. Lineage: Eukaryota; Fungi; Ascomycota; Lecanoromycetes; Lecanorales; Parmeliaceae. The record is from RNAcentral.
CCAGCAACUUGGAGGAAUGUAUAGCAAUAGCUAGUUGCAUCAUUGUAAAGAUGAUGCAAUAUUGACUAUGUUGAAUAAAAUUCUAGGUAGAAUUAUGAUAAUGACAUUGUCUGCCUAUGUGUCUUGACCAAAUUACGUGCCAGCAGUCGCGGUAACACGUAGAAGACUAGUGUUAUUCAUGUUUAAUCGGUUUAAAGGGUACCUAGACGGCAGAUCAAGCUUUCCGAGCAGAAAAAAAAGUAAAAGGACUAAUUUGCUAGAGUUACUUACGAGGGGGUUUUAAAGUACUGCUGGUGUAGAGAUGAAAUUCUUUAAUACCUAUUCUCGAAAGAAUUAUAAUGGCACAGGUAUAGGCGAAGGCAUCCCCUUAUGUGAUAACUGACGUUGAGGGACGAAGGCUUUAUACAACGAACGGGAUUAGAUACCCCAUUAGUGGAAGCAGUAAAUGAUGAAUGUCAUAGAUUAGCUAGAUAGGUUCAUUCUAUAAAUGAAAGUGUAAGCAUUCCACCUCAUGAGUAAUAUGGCAACAUUGGAAUUGAAAUCAUUAGACCGUAUCUGAAACCAGUAGUGAAGUAUGUUGUUUAAUUUGAUGAUCCGCAAAAAACCUUACCACAAUUUGAAUAUAUAUAUUUUUUUUUAUUGUUUUGUCAUUAAUUUUCUUCUCUUUACAGAAAUAACAUAACAUUGAAGUAAAGUGGAAAGAAAUUAAUAAAGAGGCAAUAAGAUAUAUUUACAAGCGUUGCACGGCUGUCUUCAGUUAAUGUCGCGAGAUUUUGGUUAGAUCCAUAAAAUUAACGUAAACCCUUACUUUAUUUUUAGAUAGAGUUGUUCCCCACUAUAUUGGAUAUGAUAACAGGGACUAAGACAAGUC